This 497-nucleotide ribosomal RNA is filed under the name uncultured bacterium. Its description in RNAcentral is "partial 16S ribosomal RNA". It matches the Rfam family "Bacterial small subunit ribosomal RNA", at positions 28 to 507 of the family's 1533-position model. The record is from RNAcentral.
GAUGAACGCUGGCGGCGUGCCUAAUACUUGCAAGUCGAGCGAACGGACGAGAAGCUUGCUUCUCUGAUGUUAGCGGCGGACGGGGGAGUAACACGUGGAUAACCUACCUAUAAGACUGGGAUAACUUCGGGAAACCGGAGCUAAUACCGGAUAAUAUUUUGAACCGCAUGGUUCAAAAGUGAAAGACGGUCUUGCUGUCACUUAUAGAUGGAUCCGCGCUGCAUUAGCUAGUUGGUAAGGUAACGGCUUACCAAGGCAACGAUGCAUAGCCGACCUGAGAGGGUGAUCGGCCACACUGGAACUGAGACACGGUCCAGACUCCUACGGGAGGCAGCAGUAGGGAAUCUUCCGCAAUGGGCGAAAGCCUGACGGAGCAACGCCGCGUGAGUGAUGAAGGUCUUCGGAUCGUAAAACUCUGUUAUUAGGGAAGAACAUAUGUGUAAGUAACUGUGCACAUCUUGACGGUACCUAAUCAGAAAGCCACGGCUAACUACGUG